AUAAGAUUAAGUUAAUUUGACUGUAUGUUUUCAAAACAUUUAGUGGCUUGGUUAAGCUAUCUUAUG
This 66-nucleotide transfer RNA is filed under the name Echinococcus shiquicus. RNAcentral describes it as "tRNA-Trp". The record is from RNAcentral. Lineage: Eukaryota; Metazoa; Platyhelminthes; Cestoda; Cyclophyllidea; Taeniidae.